This 736-nucleotide long non-coding RNA is filed under the name Fukomys damarensis (Damara mole-rat). Its description in RNAcentral is "lncRNA (ENSFDAG00000029278.1)". The record is from RNAcentral. Lineage: Eukaryota; Metazoa; Chordata; Mammalia; Rodentia; Bathyergidae.
GGCUCCUGCACAGAAGAAGCAUCCCCAAGUGGGGCUGCAUAGAGGCAAUGGGGCAAAGCACCUUCUGUGGCCUGCUCACUCCAGGGAGGGACAGUCACGCCCUGCUGGGAGCACCUGAUUCUGUGUCUGACUGCACCUCAUCCCUAACUAUGCCUGGUUCUUAUCUUGACAGGUCUUACCACAGAUCAGGAACACUGACAUCAACCCCAGGGCCCCUGUCUGUGUCAGCUGGGGAGAAGACCCACAGCCCACUGAAUCUUAUCUUCUUGGAGGCAGGGCCGCCCCACUGGCAGGAAUUCUGCCUCUGCAGAUGGCUCCUCAGCAGAAAGUCUGAUCUGGACAGAAACCCUGGCAAAGGACUUCAUUUUGGUGCCAAGAUGCAUUUUUGCACCUUCACCAUAUACUUCAUGUAGCUUUAAGGUUGUCAAGAGAGCUGCGAAUCCAAAGAAGAAGCUACAGACUUCCCACCAUCUUACAUUUGACUUGAUAACCCAGACGCCCAGUGCGCAGCACAGCCCUGCUGAAGGCCUGCUGUCCACCCCAGCGUCCCGGGCAGGACUGGACUGGCUGGGUCCCCGGUGAUCUCUGGCGAGGCUCUGGGCCCGCCCUGCACUGACCAGGACAGACCUUGGGCACCUCCCAUAGCCCACACGGUGGGUUACUCGCAAGCUCGGACUGCCCCCUGCUGGAUAUAGAGAUGAAAACCAAUACAAGCGUGGAGGCUUUACUAUGGACA